UGAGCACGCCCACCCAUUGACCCCCAAUCCAGAGAGCUAGUGUUGAAGAGCUCAUUAACAAAACACAAAACACUCAGCUGACGCACCGCCACCAUGCAAAUGCGUAAUAACUGGAUCUCUCUUCCCCCACAGCUAACCUCAAGCAUCUCUUCUUGGCCAGCUGCAUUGCCUUGGCUCUCUGUGUGGUUCAGAGCCAGAGAGGGCAGGCUGGGCAGCCACUUCCAUGCCAACAUCCCAGGAGGCAGUGCUUGGAGCAGGAAGAUGAGAGAAGAUGAUCUCUCCCACUACACAGAGCCCAGGUCCCGGCCCCAGACUCAGAGGCCCUGACGCCUGCUAUGCCUGGUCCACAAAAGCAGCAGGGAAGGGCAUGGAUGCUGGCAAUGCACUGCCCCCUCAGGAGCCAGCACUCAAUCAUGUUCUCUCUAAAGAAUGCCAGUGUCCCAUUUUCAUCCAAAUGUGAAAGUUGAAAAAGAGAAGUCAGGCAAGGGAGAGAGGCUUUUAAGAUUUCCCCUACUCAGGGGAGGAGCUGGCAGCGUGAGCCUAAAACCAGGCAGGCAGGUAACGGGAGGGGGCCCUAAUUGCUGCUAAAGAUCACGGGGUAACCCUGAUGACACCUGAAAGUCUUCCGUGGAUCCUCAGGCACAAAACAUAAAUCAUCUCCCUCUCACUUCUUACUGAUCGCGUUUGCUUGCUGUGUCAGCUGAAUUCCCAAAUUGGCCUGGGUUUAAAUUGGGACUUUUUUUUCCCUUCCUGGCCUGGCUUUUCCUCCACUCUCUCUCUCCAACCUCCUCCCACCCCAUGGGAAGUGAUGACAGAGGAAUCUGCCUGCGGACUCCAAAAUGCAGGUUAAAAGAGCAUGACCCAGGGGCAUUUACGACUCACCUGGAACCACACAGGUUGUUAAGAGUGAGGGCUAGAAUUUGGGUGACCUGUCUCCCAGGAGCCACGCAACCUCUCUGUGAAUGAAGGUGGAAUUCCAUGAUUUGAUAAUUACAUGGGACUGUAUCUCUCCCCUGGACUUUGGCCAUCUUUCCCACCGUUCAGAGAAAAUACGACUUGUUUCUAGACCUGAUAUUCAUCCAGCAUGCACCAGGAUGGAUGGAAGAUAAAAUACUGAAAUGUUUCCACACUGGUUGGUAAAUUACCGUCACCUGCGGAUACCUCCCCUGUAGUCCCAACAGGCUGGCUCGUCCUCCGGGAGAUCCCCCAGUGACCUCCCUAAGAUGUGUCACCUAAAGGGUUAAUGCCUGGCCCGGCAGGGGGCCCCCAGACUCUUCACCCAGCAUUAAGUCUUUGUGC
RNAcentral lists this long non-coding RNA (1299 nucleotides) under Homo sapiens (human). RNAcentral's name for it is "HSALNT0343512". Lineage: Eukaryota; Metazoa; Chordata; Mammalia; Primates; Hominidae. The record is from RNAcentral.